RNAcentral lists this ribosomal RNA (2920 nucleotides) under Klebsiella pneumoniae. Its description in RNAcentral is "23S ribosomal RNA". It matches the Rfam family "Bacterial large subunit ribosomal RNA". The record is from RNAcentral. Lineage: Bacteria; Pseudomonadati; Pseudomonadota; Gammaproteobacteria; Enterobacterales; Enterobacteriaceae.
GGGUUGUGAGGUUAAGCGACUAAGCGUACACGGUGGAUGCCCUGGCAGUCAGAGGCGAUGAAGGACGUGCUAAUCUGCGAAAAGCGUCGGUAAGGUGAUAUGAACCGUUAUAACCGGCGAUGUCCGAAUGGGGAAACCCAGUGCAAUUCGUUGCACUAUCGUUAACUGAAUACAUAGGUUAACGAGGCGAACCGGGGGAACUGAAACAUCUAAGUACCCCGAGGAAAAGAAAUCAACCGAGAUUCCCCCAGUAGCGGCGAGCGAACGGGGAGCAGCCCAGAGUCUGAAUCAGCUUGUGUGUUAGUGGAACGGUCUGGAAAGUCCGACGGUACAGGGUGAUAGUCCCGUACACCAAAAUGCACAGGCUGUGAACUCGAAGAGUAGGGCGGGACACGUGGUAUCCUGUCUGAAUAUGGGGGGACCAUCCUCCAAGGCUAAAUACUCCUGACUGACCGAUAGUGAACCAGUACCGUGAGGGAAAGGCGAAAAGAACCCCGGCGAGGGGAGUGAAAAAGAACCUGAAACCGUGUACGUACAAGCAGUGGGAGCACCUUCGGGUGUGACUGCGUACCUUUUGUAUAAUGGGUCAGCGACUUAUAUUCUGUAGCAAGGUUAACCGUAUAGGGGAGCCGCAGGGAAACCGAGUCUUAACUGGGCGUUAAGUUGCAGGGUAUAGACCCGAAACCCGGUGAUCUAGCCAUGGGCAGGUUGAAGGUUGGGUAACACUAACUGGAGGACCGAACCGACUAAUGUUGAAAAAUUAGCGGAUGACUUGUGGCUGGGGGUGAAAGGCCAAUCAAACCGGGAGAUAGCUGGUUCUCCCCGAAAGCUAUUUAGGUAGCGCCUCGUGAAUUCAUCUUCGGGGUAGAGCACUGUUUCGGCUAGGGGGUCAUCCCGACUUACCAACCCGAUGCAAACUACGAAUACCGAAGAAUGUUAUCACGGGAGACACACGGCGGGUGCUAACGUCCGUCGUGAAGAGGGAAACAACCCAGACCGCCAGCUAAGGUCCCAAAGUCAUGGUUAAGUGGGAAACGAUGUGGGAAGGCACAGACAGCCAGGAUGUUGGCUUAGAAGCAGCCAUCAUUUAAAGAAAGCGUAAUAGCUCACUGGUCGAGUCGGCCUGCGCGGAAGAUGUAACGGGGCUAAACCAUGCACCGAAGCUGCGGCAGCGACACUAUGUGUUGUUGGGUAGGGGAGCGUUCUGUAAGCCUGCGAAGGUGUGCUGUGAGGCAUGCUGGAGGUAUCAGAAGUGCGAAUGCUGACAUAAGUAACGAUAAAGCGGGUGAAAAGCCCGCUCGCCGGAAGACCAAGGGUUCCUGUCCAACGUUAAUCGGGCAGGGUGAGUCGACCCCUAAGGCGAGGCCGAAAGGCGUAGUCGAUGGGAAACAGGUUAAUAUUCCUGUACUUGGUGUUACUGCGAAGGGGGACGGAGAAGGCUAUGUUAGCCGGGCGACGGUUGUCCCGGUUUAAGCAUGUAGGCUGGUUAUCCAGGCAAAUCCGGAUAAUCAAGGCUGAGGUGUGAUGACGAGGCACUACGGUGCUGAAGUAACAAAUGCCCUGCUUCCAGGAAAAGCCUCUAAGCAUCAGGUAACAUCAAAUCGUACCCCAAACCGACACAGGUGGUCAGGUAGAGAAUACCAAGGCGCUUGAGAGAACUCGGGUGAAGGAACUAGGCAAAAUGGUGCCGUAACUUCGGGAGAAGGCACGCUGGUGUGUAGGUGAAGCCCCUGCGGGUGGAGCUGAGACCAGUCGAAGAUACCAGCUGGCUGCAACUGUUUAUUAAAAACACAGCACUGUGCAAACACGAAAGUGGACGUAUACGGUGUGACGCCUGCCCGGUGCCGGAAGGUUAAUUGAUGGGGUUAUCCGUAAGGAGAAGCUCUUGAUCGAAGCCCCGGUAAACGGCGGCCGUAACUAUAACGGUCCUAAGGUAGCGAAAUUCCUUGUCGGGUAAGUUCCGACCUGCACGAAUGGCGUAAUGAUGGCCAGGCUGUCUCCACCCGAGACUCAGUGAAAUUGAACUCGCUGUGAAGAUGCAGUGUACCCGCGGCAAGACGGAAAGACCCCGUGAACCUUUACUAUAGCUUGACACUGAACAUUGAGCCUUGAUGUGUAGGAUAGGUGGGAGGCUUUGAAGCGUGGACGCCAGUCUGCGUGGAGCCAACCUUGAAAUACCACCCUUUAAUGUUUGAUGUUCUAACGUUGGCCCCUUACCGGGGUUGCGGACAGUGUCUGGUGGGUAGUUUGACUGGGGCGGUCUCCUCCCAAAGCGUAACGGAGGAGCACGAAGGUUAGCUAAUCCUGGUCGGACAUCAGGAGGUUAGUGCAAUGGCAUAAGCUAGCUUGACUGCGAGCGUGACGGCGCGAGCAGGUGCGAAAGCAGGUCAUAGUGAUCCGGUGGUUCUGAAUGGAAGGGCCAUCGCUCAACGGAUAAAAGGUACUCCGGGGAUAACAGGCUGAUACCGCCCAAGAGUUCAUAUCGACGGCGGUGUUUGGCACCUCGAUGUCGGCUCAUCACAUCCUGGGGCUGAAGUAGGUCCCAAGGGUAUGGCUGUUCGCCAUUUAAAGUGGUACGCGAGCUGGGUUUAGAACGUCGUGAGACAGUUCGGUCCCUAUCUGCCGUGGGCGCUGGAGAAUUGAGGGGGGCUGCUCCUAGUACGAGAGGACCGGAGUGGACGCAUCACUGGUGUUCGGGUUGUCAUGCCAAUGGCACUGCCCGGUAGCUAAAUGCGGAAGAGAUAAGUGCUGAAAGCAUCUAAGCACGAAACUUGCCCCGAGAUGAGUUCUCCCUGAGACUUUAAGUCUCCUGAAGGAACGUUGAAGACGACGACGUUGAUAGGCCGGGUGUGUAAGCGCAGCGAUGCGUUGAGCUAACCGGUACUAAUGAACCGUGAGGCUUAACCUUACAACGCCGAAG